This 266-nucleotide unclassified non-coding RNA is filed under the name Hevea brasiliensis (rubber tree). Lineage: Eukaryota; Viridiplantae; Streptophyta; Magnoliopsida; Malpighiales; Euphorbiaceae. The record is from RNAcentral.
CCGUCCACUUUACAAGAUACUCAUUCUUCCCAUCAUCGCCAACUCUCUUACCCAUCCCACCCUCCGCCACAGCAUACUCUAGUCCUCCCUCAAAAUCCUUCACUAAAUCCUCGCCGAUAAACUGGGCUUUCAUCCACUCAUUAUUACUCCCGUCCUUCCAUUUGACCAAAUACUCCACCUUAUCGCCCUUCCCUCUCCUCUCCAAUAUCUCCUGCACCUCCGCGUACUCGAAUAUUUCCUCGUCUAGAAUUUUUAUUACAUUUUCU